GCUAUUUCAGCUGAAAGAGGUGGAGGGAUGGAGAAAGACCAUCUAUUUUUUCCUUAGUGAUUACACGCCCUUAGACUGGGGAGAGACCUUAGAGGAAAUUGCCAUUUUGGGGCCAGAACAGCUGCUGUCACAUAAUGCUAAAGAAACUUUAAUCAAAACUUGAGGAAAGCCAUAGCAGGCCUAGGCCAAUGGAGCCAGCUGAUGCAGCAUUGACUUACAAUCGGGUGCAACAGACAUAAAAAUGGAUGGAGCUUAGAAGAAACUUUAUGAAAAACAAUCUGAAGGAGACCCCAAAGGUGCUUUUUCAAGAGGCAACUGGACUUUCCGGUUUUUCUUUGAAGUCGUUUCGUUUCUCAUUCAAGAAGCUUCUUCAGGUCUGAAGGAGAGUACAUACAUGGUUAUUCUUUAAACUUUCUAUCGUAUGAUAUUGUGUCAACAGCUAAUGGUUGAAGCUGGCUUUUCUAUAGAUGCUAGAAAUAAACAGAAGAGAUGGAAACAAUUGUGAUUAAACAUACUGUCAGAGAAAAUGGAAAUGAUUACUUUACACACACGCUUGUGCAUUUGGUGCCAUGUUACUUGGUGCACUAACUGGUCCAUGGAUUUCACAAAGAGAAGAAAUGAAAAACAGCAACUAGCAACUGGAGCCAUGAAGCACAGCUUGUACUGGAAUAUGCUCAGUCACAUUCAAUUGGAUCCCCAUCGCAGCUUAACUCUCCACAGCUGUCACUGCAAAAGAAUUUCAUUUCAUACAGCCAAGCUGGUCCAGGGAUGAAGGAUGCCUCCUCCUUUUUAUUUCUCCUAAUUCGUAGCAUUUGUCUCAUUCUCCUACAAGCUGGAAUUAGAAGGAAAUCAGACCUGGCUGUGUCAUCAUCUAUAGUUACAGAGCAUCCUUUUUUUGAUGGCUAUUUUUAUAAACCAUGUUGAAAUGGUAUACAUGGAAAGUAACAAAAAUAACCUACUCCACAAGAUCUGGAAAAUGUUAUUUGCUUUAAAUUAGUGUGUUUACAAGAUCACUGGCAGAGUAAAGCCUCCCCAACCACCAGAGGAUGAGGAGUUCCCAGGCCCCAGAGAUCCCCAUUCUAGCAUUGCCUUGUUUCUGGGCACACUUUCAAACCAGGUUUUUGGCAAUUCACCAUUCUCUAUUUUCUAAGAAUCUCUUUCUGGGACAUUCUUGACAUAAUGUGGGAGACUAGCACUUUGCAGCAAGCCAGAAUCUCAUUUUUAAAAAGUAAAACGAUCUCCUUUUUUGGCUUUUAUUUUGCUGAAACAGAAAGUUUGGCAAGUGGUAAGGACAUUUCCCACUGUUCAUUUGUGCCUGUGGUUACUACAUAAAAGAUGGCAAUUUAAAUAAAUAAUAAGAUGGCAUAAAGAAUGCAUCUUCUGUACUGCAUGUGCUGGAUCGACAAAUUAUAUUUGGAUUCAUUGUGUAAGUGUGGGUGGGCAUGCACAUGCAUAUGUACGGCAGCAGAGCAAAAAUAAAAGUUAACUCAUCU
Long non-coding RNA from Pantherophis guttatus, 1493 nucleotides. RefSeq lists it as uncharacterized. The record is from RefSeq and is a predicted model, not a curated record. Lineage: Eukaryota; Metazoa; Chordata; Lepidosauria; Squamata; Colubridae.